AACCCAAGGAAAAUAUGGAUGACUAUUUGUUUCAGUUUCAACCCUCUGUUUAAGGAGCUGGCAUUGGUUGCUCAUUGUUCUUCCUCCUUAACACUCUCGAACCCUCAGCCCAUUUAAUAGCCUUAGCAACAGCUCCUUUAAAACCUUCUUAUUCUUCAUUUUCUACUCCUCGCCUAUAUUGAAUGUUCUUUUUGUUCUCUUUUCUCGCCAUGAACUAAACUAAGUCAUCUAGAGCGUCCACUACUUCUCUUAUUGUUGUCCUAGUGUUUGCUUUUUUCUCUCAGACACAUAUAUGCCAAUAUAAGAGCUCUUCUCAUGGCUUCUUCCAUGCCCCCGAGUAUGCUAAAAGCGGGGAACUCACACUCUGAUAUUAAUAGCUUUGCAAUUGGUGAUAUGUUGGAGCCCAUCACUUGGUGCAAACCUAUUAGGGACGCAUCAUUGGGUUCAAAACGUGUACUUGUACAAUGGACUUUACCAUUCAAGAACAACUACAUGAGGAAGAUUUUAGAUCCGAUGCUAACAAUAUAAAGUCUUGGUAUGGAAGAAUCCCCGAGAGAAGCUCUUAUCUUGGCAUUUAUGUGUCUAUGAGAAGAAGCAAACUCUAGACCAAUGAUCAGCGAAGUACUGGACGCUCUAUAUGACCUAGUUAAGUGGCCAGAAAAGAGAAGAAAAAGAGCAUUCAACAUGGGCGAGGAGUAGAGUGGGGAGGGGGAAGAAAGUGGACGUCACAGUGACCUCACCGACAGAGACGAUGAGGUUGUCGAAUGUUAUUGAUGUAGAUGAAGAAAAAGAAGAAAAUGAAGAUUUUGAUAAAGAAAAAGCUGUUGUUGAGGCUAUAUAAUGGGCUGAGGGUUGAAGAACGUUGAGGAGGAAGAAGAACAGAGGGUUGAAAUUGAACAAAUGUUUUAUAUGUAUUUACUUAUUAGUUGUGUUUUUUUUUGUUAAAGGCCUUACUUAUUAGUUAUGUUUCUUGGCUAUAAUAAUAGUUUCAUGUCGAGAAAACUCACAUCAGGCAUUGGUUGAAUGUAAUAUUGGCGUUUCAUUGUUGGCGAAAACUAAAAGAUUUUAAUGA
Raphanus sativus (radish) is the source of this 1072-nucleotide long non-coding RNA. RefSeq lists it as uncharacterized. The record is from RefSeq and is a predicted model, not a curated record. The transcript is spliced from 2 exons. Lineage: Eukaryota; Viridiplantae; Streptophyta; Magnoliopsida; Brassicales; Brassicaceae.